CGACGAGGUGGCAAAAAAAGACUUUUGAAAUUUUUAAAAUUGUGAUAAAAAAUUGAUAUUGAAAAUGUUAAAAAAACCUAAGUGUAGUCUGAUUUCUACUGUAUGUGCAGUGUCCAUGCUGAAAUGAGUUAGCUGAAGAGGGGCUGAUGCCCGAAACGUUGAUGUAUGGAAAAAACGUUCUAACUAAAUAAAAGAUUCAACUAGCCCA
Molecule: long non-coding RNA, 208 nt
Organism: Centruroides sculpturatus (bark scorpion)
Lineage: Eukaryota; Metazoa; Arthropoda; Arachnida; Scorpiones; Buthidae
Exons: 3
Source: RefSeq, a predicted model, not a curated record